GACGAACGCUGGCGGCGUGCUUAACACAUGCAAGUCGAACGGAAGGGCCCUGCUUUUGUGGGGUGCUCGAGUGGCGAACGGGUGAGUAACACGUGAGUAACCUGCCCUUGACUUUGGGAUAACUUCAGGAAACUGGGGCUAAUACCGGAUAGGAGCUCCUGCUGCAUGGUGGGGGUUGGAAAGUUUCGGCGGUUGGGGAUGGACUCGCGGCUUAUCAGCUUGUUGGUGGGGUAGUGGCUUACCAAGGCUUUGACGGGUAGCCGGCCUGAGAGGGUGACCGGCCACAUUGGGACUGAGAUACGGCCCAGACUCCUACGGGAGGCAGCAGUGGGGAAUAUUGCACAAUGGGCGGAAGCCUGAUGCAGCAACGCCGCGUGCGGGAUGACGGCCUUCGGGUUGUAAACCGCUUUCGCCUGUGACGAAGCGUGAGUGACGGUAAUGGGUAAAGAAGCACCGGCUAACUACGUA
This 468-nucleotide ribosomal RNA is filed under the name uncultured bacterium. RNAcentral's name for it is "partial 16S ribosomal RNA". It matches the Rfam family "Bacterial small subunit ribosomal RNA", at positions 28 to 507 of the family's 1533-position model. The record is from RNAcentral.